CAUAUACUAACAGGUGCGAUCAUACCAGCACUAAUGCACCGGAUCCCAUCAGAACUCCGCAGUUAAGCGUGCUUGGGCGAGAGUAGUACUAGGAUGGGUGACCUCCUGGGCAGUCCUCGUGUUGCACCAUUUUUUUGCUCCUCUUGAUUUUUUAUUUUUUUUGGGUCUUUUCAUUUGAAAAACAAGGCAUCUUCCGAACGACGCCAUUUCUAGACCGUGUGGAACCAUGCCUCCUACAGCAACUUUUCAGAAAGCCCCAAGAGUGCUCUCGGGCGUGCCCAAGGGUCUAAAGAGCAUGGGUGCUGUUACAAGGCCAAAAUUUUGAGUUUUAGACCCUCUUCCGGGCCAUUUUCUAAAACAUAAGCCCCGGUUUAAGUGUCGUCAAACGUUGUGUCCUAACUUAUAUAUCUUGCAACGAAUGCUCGUCGCAGGUGGGCGGGAAAACCAUUUAAAGAGUGCAACACACGUGAAGAGAUUUCAUUGCGGUCUCAAAGCCAAAGGAUAUAUGCUAUUGCGAUACAUAUACUAACGGGUGCGAUCAUAACAGCACUAAUGCACCGGAUCCCAUCAGAACUCCGCAGUAAAGCGUGCUUGGGCGAGAGUUGUACUAGGAUGGGUGACCUCCUUGGUAGUCCUCGUCUUGCACCCCUUUUUGUUCCUUUCGAUUGUUUUUGUUUUUUUGGGUCUUUUCAUUUGAAAAACAAGGCAUCUUCCGAACGACGCCUUUUCUAGACCGUGUGGAACCAUGCCUCCUACAGAAACUAUUCGGAAAGCCCCAAGUGUGCUCUCUGGCGUGUCCAAGGGUUUAAAGACUAUAGGUGCGGUAUACAAGGCCAAAAUUUCGAGUUUUAGACCCUCUUCUAGGCCCUUUUCUAAAACAUAAGCCCCAGUUUAAGUGUCGUCAAAUGUGGUGUCCUAAUUUAUAUAUCUUGCAACGAAUGCUCGUCGCAGCUGGGUGGGAAAAGCCAUAUAAAAAGUGUUACACACGCCAAGAGAUUCCAUUGCGGACUCAAAACAAAAGGAUAUAUGCUAUUGCGAUACAUAUACUAAUGGGUGCGAUCAUAACAGCACUAAUGCACCGGAUCCCAUCAGAACUCCGCAGUAAAGCGUGCUUGGGCGAGAGUUGUACUAGGAUGGGUGACCUCCUUGGUAGUCCUCGUCUUGCACCCCUUUUUUGUUCCUUUUAAUUCUUUGUUUUUUUUUUGGGUCUUUUCAUUUGAAAAACAAGGCAUCUUCCGAACGACACCAUUUCUAGACCGUGUGGAACCAUGCCUCCUACAGAAACUUUUCGGAAAGCCCCAAGUCUGCUCUAUGGCGUGUCCAAGGCUCUAAAGACUAUAGGUGCGGUAUACAAGGCCAAAAUUUCGAGUUUUAGACCCUCUUCUGGGCCCUUUUCUAAAACAUAAGCCCCAAUUUAGGUGUCGUCAAAUGUGGUGUCCUAACUUAUAUAUCUUGGCAUGAAUGCUGGUCGCGGCUGGGCAGGAAAAGACAUAUAAACAGUGCAACACACCCGAAGAGAUUUCAUUGCGGACUCAAAGCCAAAGGAUAUAUGCUAUUGCGAUACAUAUACUAACAGGUGUGAUCAUACCAGCACUAAUGCACCGGAUCCCAUUAGAACUCCGCAGUUAAGCGUGCUUGGGCGAGAGUAGUACUAGGAUGGGUGAUCUCCUGGGCAGUCCUCGUGUUGCACCAUUUUUUUGCUCCUCUUGAUUUUUUAUUUUUUUUGGGUCUUUUCAUUUGAAAAACAAGGCAUCUUCCGAACGACGCCUUUUCUAGACCGUGUGGAACCAUGCCUCCUACAGCAACUUUUCAGAAAGCCCCAAGAGUGCUCUCGGGCGUGCCCAAGGGACUAAAGAGCAUGGGUGCUGUUACAAGGCCAAAAUUUUGAGUUUUAGACCCUCUUCCGGGCCAUUUUCUAAAACAUAAGCCCCGGUUUAAGUGUCGUCAAACGUUGUGUCCUAACUUAUAUGUCUUGCAACGAAUGCUCGUCGCAGGUGGGCGGGAAAAGCCAUACAAACAGUGCAACACACGAGAAGAGAUUCCAUUGCGGUCUCAAAGCCAAAGGAUAAAUGCUAUUGCGAUACAUAUACUAACGGGUGCGAUCAUACCAGCACUAAUGCACCAGAUCCCAUCAGAACUCCGCAGUAAAGCAUGCUUGGGCGAGAGUUGUACUAGGAUGGGUGACCUCCUUGGAAGUCCUCGUCUUGCACCCCUUUUUGUUCCUUUCGAUUGUUUUUGUUUUUUUUGGGUCUUUUCAUUUGAAAAACAAGGCAUCUUCCGAACGACGCCUUUUCUAGACCGUGUGGAACCAUGCCUCCUACAGAAACUUUUCGGAAAGCCCCAAGUGUGCUCUCUGGCGUGUCCAAGGGUUUAAAGACUAUAGGUGCGGUAUACAAGGCCAAAAUUUCGAGUUUUAGACCCUCUUCUAGGCCCUUUUCUAAAACAUAAGCCCCAGUUUAAGUGUCGUCAAAUGUGGUGUCCUAAUUUAUAUAUCUUGCAACGAAUGCUCGUCGCAGCUGGGUGGGAAAAGCCAUAUAAAAAGUGUUACACACGCCAAGAGAUUCCAUUGCGGACUCAAAACAAAAGGAUAUAUGCUAUUGCGAUACAUAUACUAAUGGGUGCGAUCAUAACAGCACUAAUGCACCGGAUCCCAUCAGAACUCCGCAGUAAAGCGUGCUUGGGCGAGAGUUGUACUAGGAUGGGUGACCUCCUUGGUAGUCCUCGUCUUGCACCCCUUUUUUGUUCCUUUUAAUUCUUUGUUUUUUUUUUGGGUCUUUUCAUUUGAAAAACAAGGCAUCUUACGAAUGACACCAUUUCUAGACCGUGUGGAACCAUGCCUCCUACAGAAACUUUUUCGGAAAGCCCCAAGUCUGCUCUAUGGCGUGUCCAAGGCUCUAAAGACUAUAGGUGCAGUAUACAAAGGCCAAAAUUUCGAGUUUUAGACCCUCUUCUGGGGCCCUUUUCUAAAACAUAAGCCCCAAUUUAGGUGUCGUCAAAUGUGGUGUCCUAACUUAUAUACCGCCGAUAAAGGCUUCUCCGCGGCUGGGCAGGAAAAGACAUAUAAACAGUGCAACACACCCGAAGAGAUUUCAUUGCGGACUCAAAGCCAAAGGAUAUAUGCUAUUGCGAUACAUAUACUAACAGGUGCGAUCAUACCAGCACUAAUGCACCGGAUCCCAUCAGAACUCCGCAGUUAAGCGUGCUUGGGCGAGAGUAGUACUAGGAUGGGUGACCUCCUGGGCAGUCCUCGUGUUGCACCAUUUUUUUGCUCCUCUUGAUUUUUUAUUUUUUUUGGGUCUUUUCAUUUGAAAAACAAGGCAUCUUCCGAACGACGCCAUUUCUAGACCGUGUGGAACCAUGCCUCCUACAGCAACUUUUCAGAAAGCCCCAAGAGUGCUCUCGGGCGUGCCCAAGGGUCUAAAGAGCAUGGGUGCUGUUACAAGGCCAAAAUUUUGAGUUUUAGACCCUCUUCCGGGCCAUUUUCUAAAACAUAAGCCCCGGUUUAAGUGUCGUCAAACGUUGUGUCCUAACUUAUAUAUCUUGCAACGAAUGCUCGUCGCAGGUGGGCGG
This 3570-nucleotide long non-coding RNA is filed under the name Eutrema salsugineum. The record is from RNAcentral. Lineage: Eukaryota; Viridiplantae; Streptophyta; Magnoliopsida; Brassicales; Brassicaceae.